GUUAGGAAUAUUGGACAAUGGGCGAAACCCUGACCCAGCAACGCCGCGUGAAGGAAGAAGGUUUUCGGAUCGUAAACUUCUAUCCUUGGUGAAGAUAAUGACGGUAGCCAAGAAGGAAGCCCCGGCUAACUACGUGCCAGCAGCCGCGGUAAUACGUAGGGGGCAAGCGUUGUCCGGAAUGAUUGGGCGUAAAGGGCGCGUAGGCGGCCUGGUAAGUCUGGAGUGAAAGUCCUGCUUUUAAGGUGGGAAUUGCUUUGGAUACUGUGGGGCUUGAGUGCAGGAGAGGUAAGCGGAAUUCCCGGUGUAGCGGUGAAAUGCGUAGAGAUCGGGAGGAACACCAGUGGCGAAGGCGGCUUACUGGACUGUAACUGACGCUGAGGCGCGAAAGUGUGGGGAGCAAACAGGAUUAGAUACCCUGGUAGUCC
RNAcentral lists this ribosomal RNA (425 nucleotides) under uncultured bacterium. Its description in RNAcentral is "partial 16S ribosomal RNA". It matches the Rfam family "Bacterial small subunit ribosomal RNA", at positions 354 to 796 of the family's 1533-position model. The record is from RNAcentral.